AGCCACAAAGAUCUGGCUGCAUUGCUCCCAACUGGGACUGCUUGUAGACCUUCAGUUAUUCGAUGGGAAUGCGAUGAAGAAAAGUUAAAUUUAAACACUUCAGCCAGUGUUGUGCCUGAGUCUCUGUCGCCCCGCAGCUUGUCUAGUCAUUUGCACUAGCACAAAGAAUGUUAGCUGUGAAAGACCUACGUGGCCCAGAAAGGAAAAUGCUCAAGGAGGUGUAAAGUACAGUUCCUGUCCAGACUGGCCUUCUGCAACCAGAUGGAGGAAUUGCCCUGAGGGAGGGCAGAAAGCAUCGCCAUCCCCUGACAUCCUUUAGGGUUCUCAGGGCCAGGGCAGCUUUAAGUUGUGGUUGGAAUCCUCCUGGUGAAGGAUACUGAUCGGAUGUGACAAACAACAGCAUCCCUGAGCCAAGCCACCUCCACAGUCAGCACCACGUCUGUAGGCUCACCGGCAGAAGGCAGGUUUCAUCCGCUUGCUGCUACUUCUGCAAAUCCUUUAUGCCCCCCACAGGCUUUAUACCCCGGGAUUUGGACUCAGCACCGGACAAAACCAGAGCUUCCUCACCUGGCAAUGCAUGAUCCUGUCAUUUGGUCACAUGGACAGCCCCAUCCAUCCCAGGCAUUCUCCUUUUUUACCUCUCUCCUGUAACCCUUCUGCCAAGUGCCAAUGGCAGCAUUAAGGGACAGGUUCAGUCUAUCUCUUCCUUCUCUAAAAUAAAUUCAAUGAUGUUUCGAGCCCCAAUCCAGAGCUGUGCUCCUACUUCUGGCUCUGGAAAGUUAAAACACAACCCUCCCUGGCCACCUUUGCAGGUGGUUCUUCCCAACUCAG
Long non-coding RNA from Mauremys reevesii (Reeves's turtle), 831 nucleotides. RefSeq lists it as uncharacterized. NCBI's taxonomy places the organism in Eukaryota, Metazoa, Chordata, Testudines, Geoemydidae. The transcript has 3 exons. The record is from RefSeq and is a predicted model, not a curated record.